RNAcentral lists this long non-coding RNA (1103 nucleotides) under Homo sapiens (human). Its description in RNAcentral is "HSALNT0372993". The record is from RNAcentral. Lineage: Eukaryota; Metazoa; Chordata; Mammalia; Primates; Hominidae.
ACAUGGCUCAGACUCCGCAGAGAGCAGAUUGCUGAUAAUGGCCAUCCCGUCUCCUGGCCCUCUCCCAGAAGAACCAUAUUUAAGCUCUCAGUUGAUGUGAAUGCCCGGAAAACAUUACUCUCCAGGGUAAGCUCAGGGGUGGUGUUGAGGGGCUUUGGAAUCCCCGAUAGAGCCAGAGCCCUGGGCCUACAUUAGAGAAGAGGCUAAUUUAGCUGUUUUCUGGGAGGCCAUAGGUCUAACCAGAUUGUAAGAAUGAAUAAAUGAAUUAACAGAGGAAUCCUUCCCCUAAACUUGAAAAAAGAAUUUGAAACCCUACUGUAGAUUUAACCAUUAAUUCUCCCCUCUCAUCGGUCUUCCCCAGUCUCUCCUCCAAAGAUUCACCCCCUUGCUUUUGAGCACUGACUUGUUGAAUGCUCUUCACUGAAGAUCAUUUGACCAGACUAACCUUCAGUGGCAGACAGUAAAAAAGGCCAUCAGUGACCAACUCCAGGUAUGGAGGCUGGACGGCUCUCUAAUGAACUCCGGCUAAUGCAGAAGAGAAAACACUUUAAAAACCAAAACAGGUGAAGGUCAAGGAAUGAUGAUAGAGUAGAAAAUGCCUUCAUUCCUUUCAUUCAAGAAAAUGGCAUGCAGGUGGUUGUCACUGGGUGGAUCCAGUGGGCAUAUGUGCCAGAAAUGGCAUUGAUGGGAUGGAACUGGAGGCUGGGGACAUGUUGGUGAAGUGGUGAGGUAGUGACAGGGAGGAGGGUUUGCAGAGUUCCUGCUGAUUCUUAUGAAAGCUCCAACAAGGGUGAAGAAAAUGGAUCAUAAUCAUAGAAAACGGCUACUCCAACUCCACGUGGUUAAGUAAUGGACAGGGGAGUGUCUGGGAGUGAGGGCAACGCUACCUCGUAUCUACCUGGACAGGCAUGGAUGACAUUUACUUGUCAGAAUCUUCAGGUGCUAAAGAGUAUACGUUCUAUGAAAACAAGUGUGCUUAGAAAUGCGAAUGCAAUUAAAUUACAGGAUUCAAUUAACAAAUACUAUGUGGGAUGGUGAAAGAUAUUGUAGGAUUGCAGAGCUGUGGUUUGAGGUGCGAUACCCCACAGAGAGUGUGCAGCCAC